Long non-coding RNA from Canis lupus familiaris (dog), 1228 nucleotides. RefSeq lists it as uncharacterized. The transcript is spliced from 4 exons. The record is from RefSeq and is a predicted model, not a curated record. Lineage: Eukaryota; Metazoa; Chordata; Mammalia; Carnivora; Canidae.
UAUGGAACUUUCAGCUGCAUUCCUCAAUCCCUGGAGAGCUCAGAAGCACUGGAGAUGGAGUUGAUCACCAAUUGCCAAUGAUUCAACCAAUAAUGCCUCUGUUAUGGAACCUCCAUCCAAAUGCUAAACUAAAGAAUUUGGAGAACUUCUGGGUUGGUCUCAUUGUUCCACUUUGUCUAAACACCAAUCCCAAGAUUAAUUACUUCAUGGAGCAACAUGGAGCUUCAUCCAUCAGAUCAGGGCUUCAAGCAGCAGGAUGGAAAAGGAGACAUUUUCAGACCUCAGACUUCAAUGCUUCAACAUAUACUCCUACACACAUCUAAAUGUCAAAAAAAUUUUCUUUUUUUUUUUUUUUAUUAAUCACAACUUUUAUAACAGAGAAGUCUCAACCUAGCAGACAAGAAAAGCCAUCAGAAAGUACUCUAUUGUGAUGAGAAACAAGAUUGAUUUCUUGAAGAUUGUCAUGCUACAAAAUAAAAGCUAUGAGUAGAAUUCAGGGAACAUUUACAGGACAAGACAGAAAUGAUCAGAUAAGGAAAACAUGGAAGAAAAGAUGGAAGUGCAUAAAGGUCAGAUUCAGGAAGUCCAAACUUAAGGCAAUAAAACAUUUUAGAAAGAAGAAACAGAAUAGAUAUAAGAAAAAAAAGGAAGAAAUUAUUCUCAACUCUACAGAGAUUGUUUAUUUUAAAAACCAAGAGUACAUACCAUGCUCUGGCCAAACUUAAAAUCACACUUAAAAUGGCCCUAGUGAAAUUGGAAACUUCAAAGAUACAGAAGAAUUCUGCAAACAUCGAGGGGGCAAAAAGCACAUUCUAAGAAAAGAAAUGCAAAGCAUGACUCUACAUUUUUGCAACCCUAAAGGAUACAAGAAAAGGGGGCAACUCUAGCUUUAUGAGGGGAAAUGUUUUGACCCAAGAAUUCUAUUUCCAGCCAAUUUGUCAUUCAUUUAUGAAGACAAGAGCAAGCAACUCUUUAAUGUGCAAGGGCUUAAUCCUAUGCCACCCAGUUUGUGUUCUUUCCAGGCAUGCAUCAUCAUUUGCUUCUAAGCAAGGAGAAUUAUUCAAAGCAAUUCAACUAAGAAUCACAUUCCCGUGGCUCAGUUUCCGAGAAGAAAAAUUGUCAUAGAGAAGAUUUUACCACCAACAAGGCCUAGGAGAAAUUUCUCCUGAGGAUCUUCAUAGAAUGCUGAAUGAUUGAGUCAAUUACAUCUUAAUACUACCCCCCCCCC